GGGGCUAUAGCUCAGUUGGUAGAGCACUUCCAUGGCAUGGAAGGGGUCAGGGGUUCAAUUCCCCUUAGCUCCACGA
RNAcentral lists this transfer RNA (76 nucleotides) under Acidimicrobiaceae bacterium. Its description in RNAcentral is "tRNA-Ala". It matches the Rfam family "tRNA". From Rfam's summary of the family: Transfer RNA (tRNA) molecules are approximately 80 nucleotides in length. Their secondary structure includes four short double-helical elements and three loops (D, anti-codon, and T loops). The record is from RNAcentral. Lineage: Bacteria; Bacillati; Actinomycetota; Acidimicrobiia; Acidimicrobiales; Acidimicrobiaceae.